CCUUACUGAUAAGUGGGGAAUAGCCCAGAGAAAUUUGGAUUAAUACCCCGUAACAUUGCGAUGUGGCAUCACAUUGCAAUUAUAGCUUCGGCGCUUAUUGAUGGGUGUGCGUAUGAUUAGAUAGUUGGCGGGGUAACGGCCCACCAAGUCUACGAUCAUUAGCUGAUGUGAGAGCAUGAUCAGCCACACGGGCACUGAGACACGGGCCCG
This 210-nucleotide ribosomal RNA is filed under the name uncultured bacterium. RNAcentral's name for it is "partial 16S ribosomal RNA". It matches the Rfam family "Bacterial small subunit ribosomal RNA", at positions 124 to 334 of the family's 1533-position model. The record is from RNAcentral.